Molecule: ribosomal RNA, 274 nt
Filed under: Escherichia coli
Lineage: Bacteria; Pseudomonadati; Pseudomonadota; Gammaproteobacteria; Enterobacterales; Enterobacteriaceae
Description: partial 16S ribosomal RNA
Rfam family: Bacterial small subunit ribosomal RNA
Source: RNAcentral
UGUCGUCAGCUCGUGUUGUGAAAUGUUGGGUUAAGUCCCGCAACGAGCGCAACCCUUAUCCUUUGUUGCCAGCGGUCCGGCCGGGAACUCAAAGGAGACUGCCAGUGAUAAACUGGAGGAAGGUGGGGAUGACGUCAAGUCAUCAUGGCCCUUACGACCAGGGCUACACACGUGCUACAAUGGCGCAUACAAAGAGAAGCGACCUCGCGAGAGCAAGCGGACCUCAUAAAGUGCGUCGUAGUCCGGAUUGGAGUCUGCAACUCGACUCCAUGAA